GAUGAACGCUGGCGGCGUGCCUAAUACAUGCAAGUCGAGCGAACAGACGAGGAGCUUGCUCCUCUGACGUUAGCGGCGGACGGGUGAGUAACACGUGGAUAACCUACCUAUAAGACUGGGAUAACUUCGGGAAACCGGAGCUAAUACCGGAUAAUAUAUUGAACCGCAUGGUUCAAUAGUGAAAGACGGUUUUGCUGUCACUUAUAGAUGGAUCCGCGCCGCAUUAGCUAGUUGGUAAGGUAACGGCUUACCAAGGCAACGAUGCGUAGCCGACCUGAGAGGGUGGAUAGGCAAACAGGAACAUGGACAAGGGCCAAGACCCCAAGGGAGGCCGGAGUAGGGAAUCUUACGCAAAGGGCGGAAGCCUGAACGAAGAAACGCGGGGGAGGGGAGAAAGUCUUUCGAUUGGAAAAACUCGGUAAUAGGGAAGAAAAAAAUGUGAAGUUAAUAUGCAAGGUUUGAAGGGAACUAAUUAGAAAAGCCCGGCUAACCUCGUG
Molecule: ribosomal RNA, 497 nt
Filed under: uncultured bacterium
Lineage: Bacteria
Description: partial 16S ribosomal RNA
Rfam family: Bacterial small subunit ribosomal RNA
Source: RNAcentral